Molecule: non-coding RNA, 91 nt
Filed under: Plasmodium falciparum 3D7
Lineage: Eukaryota; Apicomplexa; Aconoidasida; Haemosporida; Plasmodiidae
Source: RNAcentral
UUUCUCAAACCUGUUGCAUAUUUAUUUGCCCAUGUGUGUAUAAAUUUUUUUAAAUUUUUCACCUGAACGUCAGGUAACUCACCAUUUAGCA